GCUGGCGACCAUAGCAAGAGUGAACCACCUGAUCCCUUCCCGAACUCAGAAGUGAAACCUCUUAGCGCUG
Molecule: ribosomal RNA, 70 nt
Filed under: Acinetobacter baumannii
Lineage: Bacteria; Pseudomonadati; Pseudomonadota; Gammaproteobacteria; Moraxellales; Moraxellaceae
Also listed under: 2 other names
Source: RNAcentral